Homo sapiens (human) is the source of this 857-nucleotide long non-coding RNA. RefSeq lists it as uncharacterized. The transcript has 5 exons. The record is from RefSeq and is a predicted model, not a curated record. NCBI's taxonomy places the organism in Eukaryota, Metazoa, Chordata, Mammalia, Primates, Hominidae.
AGUGAUUCUCCUGCCUCAGCCUCCCGAGUAGCUGGAACUACAGGAUCUCAUCCAGGAUACCACAUUACAUUUAGCAGUCAUGUCUCUUUAGUCGUCUCUUUACUCCGUAUUAUUCCAACACUUCCACUUGUUGAAUCGAUGGCCUAUGUUGCUUCAUUGGGACGGCAGAACCAGGUCUUGACCAUAAAAUCAGAUUUAUUUGGAGAAAACAAAACACCGACAACCCAAAGGAUGGGAUUUUACGUCAAGACAUCUCCCAGAUUCAAGCCACUUCAGCUGCCUAAACUCUCGUGCCUGCCCCAUCAGGUCAGUGGAACACUCCAGCUAUGCUUGGAUUCCAGUUCUCUCAGAUGUGAUCAUAAAAUUAUGCUCAGGUAGCAGUGGGUUUUCAGAGUGCUCACCUUGUCAGGUUCCCUUCUCAGUCAUCACAGUUUGUGCUGCAUGUUGACCACUGCCUGAAUUCAACUGCUUCAUGUAUUUUGUCAAGUUACAAACUUUUAUGUGGUCAAUGGGCUAGUCUGGUACCAGUUAUUAAGUUAUGACCAGAAGUAGAAGUCUUAUUAGAAUGUACUGUUUUGAAAAGGAAAAAUACCGACAUGUACAGCAAGAGCAAACUUGGGGUUGGAGAAAGAUUACCGUAUAAUUAUAAAGAUCAACAAUUGAAAGGAAUUUGUGUGGGGAGGCACCACAAAAAGUAACAUGAUUUAUAAGCAGACAUGUUUUUGUGUCUCAUUUUUCAUACGUAUCUGUAAUGUAAGAUGGAGUUAAAAAUCACAGUCUUUUGAGUUACACAAAAACGGAUUUGAAUCACUUUUGCCUCAUAUAAGUUAGAUGAAUAUUUCUCUCUCAAAUAUCAA